Molecule: transfer RNA, 87 nt
Filed under: Deltaproteobacteria bacterium
Lineage: Bacteria; Pseudomonadati; Myxococcota; Myxococcia
Description: tRNA-Ser
Rfam family: tRNA
About the family: Transfer RNA (tRNA) molecules are approximately 80 nucleotides in length.
Source: RNAcentral
GGAGAGGUGGCCGAGUGGUUGAAGGCGCACGCCUGGAACGCGUGUAGGUGCGAAAGUGCCUCCAGGGUUCGAAUCCCUGCCUCUCCG